Molecule: non-coding RNA, 559 nt
Organism: Myxocyprinus asiaticus (Chinese sucker)
Lineage: Eukaryota; Metazoa; Chordata; Actinopteri; Cypriniformes; Catostomidae
Source: the annotation of a RefSeq genome assembly
GUUUUCAUAUAUUACUCAACAGGUAAUAAAGAUAUACAGAUUCAUUGAUUGUAUCCUCACAGAGAGCAGGAAGUUCAUGAGUGGCUUCAUGACUUCAGAAAUUCAAUUACAGCCCACAUUACUGGCAGCAUUAAUACAGAACUGAUCUGACCUGAUUCAACAUGAACAAAUGCAUCCUGCUGGUUUCCAUUAUGGCAUCAGGUGUGAUGGCUGUGGACAAAAUUGAGCCAAAUAAAGGGACCAGUAUCAUCAGAACAGAGGAAAUAACCACAAUGUUGAGCUGCUCGUAUGAUUCUAAUAGUGACAAUGUACGGCUUUACUGGUACAGGCAAUAUCCCAAUGAGGAACCUCAGUAUGUAUUAUAUGAACGUGCUCGAUCAAGCAGUUAUAAGCACACAUCUGAUCCUCGAUUUCAGUCAACAACCUCUCGCACAUCCACUGAACUCAUUAUUAAUGGUGUAACUCUGUCAGAUUCAGCCCUCUAUUACUGUGCUCUAAGAGUAGGAGCCCAGUGAUACAAAACAUGAAUUAAGUCGCACAAAAACUGAAAGGCCUUUUU